RNAcentral lists this ribosomal RNA (274 nucleotides) under uncultured bacterium. RNAcentral describes it as "partial 16S ribosomal RNA". It matches the Rfam family "Bacterial small subunit ribosomal RNA", at positions 523 to 796 of the family's 1533-position model. The record is from RNAcentral.
CUACGGAGGUAGCAAGCGUUAUUCGGAAUCACUGGGCGUAAAGGACGCGUAGGCGGGUUUGUAAGUCAGGUGUGAAAUCCUACAGCUCAACUGUAGAACUGCACUUGAAACUACAGACCUAGAGUAUGGAAGGGGCAGAUGGAAUUAGUGGUGUAGGGGUAAAAUCCGUAGAUAUCACUAGGAAUACCGAAAGCGAAGGCGAUCUGCUGGGACAUUACUGACGCUGAGGCGUGAAAGCGUGGGGAGCAAACAGGAUUAGAUACCCUAGUAGUCC